This 158-nucleotide ribosomal RNA is filed under the name Gongylonema aegypti. Its description in RNAcentral is "5.8S ribosomal RNA". It matches the Rfam family "5.8S ribosomal RNA". From Rfam's summary of the family: 5.8S ribosomal RNA (5.8S rRNA) is a component of the large subunit of the eukaryotic ribosome. Lineage: Eukaryota; Metazoa; Nematoda; Chromadorea; Rhabditida; Gongylonematidae. The record is from RNAcentral. RNAcentral also lists the same sequence under 1 other name.
UCACUCUUAGCGGUGGAUCACUUGGCUCGUGGAUCGAUGAAGAACGCAGCUAGCUGCGAUAAAUAGUGCGAAUUGCAGACACAUUGAGCACUAAAAUUUCGAACGCACAUUGCGCCAUCGGGUUCAUUCCCGUUGGUAUGUCUGGCUGAGGGUUAAUU